GACGAACGCUGGCGGCGUGCCUAAUACAUGCAAGUUGAGCGAUGAAGAUUGGUGCUUGCCCCAAUUUGAAGAGCAGCGAACGGGUGAGUAACGCGUGGGGAAUCUGCCUUUGAGCGGGGGACAACAUUUGGAAACGAAUGCUAAUACCGCAUAACAACUUUAAACAUAAGUUUUAAGUUUGAAAGAUGCAAUUGCAUCACUCAAAGAUGAUCCCGCGUUGUAUUAGCUAGUUGGUGAGGUAAAGGCUCACCAAGGCGAUGAUACAUAGCCGACCUGAGAGGGUGAUCGGCCACAUUGGGACUGAGACACGGCCCAAACGCCUACGGGAGGCAGCAGUAGGGAAUCUUCGGCAAUGGACGAAAGUCUGACCGAGCAACGCCGCGUGAGUGAAGAAGGUUUUCGGAUCGUAAAACUCUGUUGGUAGAGAAGAACGUUGGUGAGAGUGGAAAGCUCAUCAAGUGACGGUAACUACACAGAAAGGGACGGCUAACUACGUG
Molecule: ribosomal RNA, 497 nt
Filed under: uncultured bacterium
Lineage: Bacteria
Description: partial 16S ribosomal RNA
Rfam family: Bacterial small subunit ribosomal RNA
Source: RNAcentral